RNAcentral lists this ribosomal RNA (409 nucleotides) under bacterium. Its description in RNAcentral is "partial 16S ribosomal RNA". It matches the Rfam family "Bacterial small subunit ribosomal RNA", at positions 355 to 776 of the family's 1533-position model. The record is from RNAcentral.
UGGGGAAUAUUGCACAAUGGGGGAAACCCUGAUGCAGCAACGCCGCGUGCGGGAUGACGGCCUUCGGGUUGUAAACCGCUUUCAGCCAUGACGAAGCUUUUGUGACGGUAGUGGCAGAAGAAGCACCGGCUAACUACGUGCCAGCAGCCGCGGUGAUACGUAGGGUGCGAGCGUUGUCCGGAAUUAUUGGGCGUAAAGAGCUUGUAGGCGGUUUGUCGCGUCGAAAGUGUAAACUCAGUGCUUAACGCUGAGCCUGCUUUCGAUACGGGCUGACUAGAGGAAGGUAGGGGAGAAUGGAAUUCCCGGUGGGGCGGGGGAAUGCGCAGAUAGCGGGAGGAACACCAGUGGCGAAGGCGGUUCUCUGGACCUUUCCUGACGCUGAGAAGCGAAAGCGUGGGUAGCAAACAGG